Molecule: ribosomal RNA, 259 nt
Filed under: uncultured Staphylococcus sp.
Lineage: Bacteria; Bacillati; Bacillota; Bacilli; Caryophanales; Staphylococcaceae
Description: partial 16S ribosomal RNA
Rfam family: Bacterial small subunit ribosomal RNA
Source: RNAcentral
CGGGUGAGUAACACGUGGAUAACCUACCUAUAAGACUGGGAUAACUUCGGGAAGCCGGAGCUAAUACCGGAUAAUAUAUUGAACCGCAUGGUUCAAUAGUGAAAGACGGUUUUGCUGUCACUUAUAGAUGGAUCCGCGCCGCAUUGGCUAGUUGGUAAGGUAACGGCUUACCAAGGCAACGAUGCGUAGCCGACCUGAGAGGGUGAUCGGCCACACUGGAACUGAGACACGGUCCAGACUCCUACGGGAGGCAGCAGCA